AAUAGAUACCCAGGUAGUCCACGCCGUAAACGAUGAGUGCUAGGUGUUAGGGGGUUCGCCCCUUAGUGCCGAAGUUAACACAUUAAGCACUCCGCCUGGGGAGUACGGUCGCAAGACUGAAACUCAAAGGAAUUGACGGGGGCCCGCACAAGCGGUGGAGCAUGUGGUUUAAUUCGAAGCAACGCGAAGAACCUUACUAGGGCUUGACAUCCCUCUGACACACCUAGAGAUAGGUGCUCCCUUCGGGACAGAGGUGGCAGGUGGUGCAUGGUUGUCGUCAGCUCGUGUCGUGAGAUGUUGGGUUAAGUCCCGCAACGAGCGCAACCCUUGUCCUUAGUUGCCAGCAUUGAGUUGGGCACUCUAGGGAGACUGCCGGUGACAAACCGGAGGAAGGUGGGGAUGACGUCAAAUCAUCAUGCCCCUUAUGUCCUGGGCUACACACGUGCUACAAUGGCUGGUACAAAGGGCAGCGAACCCGCGAGGGGGGUAGCCGAAUCCCAAAAAGCCAGUCACAGUUCGGAUUGUAGGCUGCAACUCGCCUAC
This 543-nucleotide ribosomal RNA is filed under the name uncultured bacterium. Its description in RNAcentral is "bacterial SSU rRNA". It matches the Rfam family "Bacterial small subunit ribosomal RNA", at positions 777 to 1319 of the family's 1533-position model. The record is from RNAcentral.